Long non-coding RNA from Folsomia candida, 177 nucleotides. RefSeq lists it as uncharacterized. The transcript has 2 exons. NCBI's taxonomy places the organism in Eukaryota, Metazoa, Arthropoda, Collembola, Entomobryomorpha, Isotomidae. The record is from RefSeq and is a predicted model, not a curated record.
CGAAAGGGCUAUAAAUACUCAGCAUGGUCACAUCACGUCACAGUAACCGUCUUCAAGUCGACGAUACACUACAACGACUCCCUGUUUCACUGUUAUUACAUCACCACAACAAUCAUGGUGAUAAUUCUUAAGGUCACAGUGUUGCUAUUCCUGGUUGGUUCGUCCACCGCUUUAAAU